Molecule: non-coding RNA, 73 nt
Organism: Giardia lamblia ATCC 50803
Lineage: Eukaryota; Fornicata; Diplomonadida; Hexamitidae
Source: Rfam
GGGCGGUUAGCUCAGUUGGUAGAGCGCGACGUUUGCAUCGUCGAGGCCGGGGGUUCAAAUCCCCCAUCGUCCA